ACGAAGGGUGCAAGCGUUACUCGGAAUUACUGGGCGUAAAGCGUGCGUAGGUGGUUUGUUAAGUCUGAUGUGAAAGCCCUGGGCUCAACCUGGGAAUGGCAUUGGAAACUGGCAGGCUAGAGUGCGGUAGAGGAUGGCGGAAUUCCCGGUGUAGCAGUGAAAUGCGUAGAGAUCGGGAGGAACAUCUGUGGCGAAGGCGGCCAUCUGGACCAGCACUGACACUGAGGCACGAAAGCGUGGGGAGCAAACAGGAUUAGAUACCCUGGUAGUCCACGCCCUAAACGAUGCGAACUGGAUGUUGGGUGCAACUAGGCACUCAGUAUCGAAGCUAACGCGUUAAGUUCGCCGCCUGGGGAGUACGGUCGCAAGACUG
This 373-nucleotide ribosomal RNA is filed under the name uncultured bacterium. Its description in RNAcentral is "bacterial SSU rRNA". It matches the Rfam family "Bacterial small subunit ribosomal RNA", at positions 525 to 896 of the family's 1533-position model. The record is from RNAcentral.